CUACGUGCCAGCAGCCGCGGUAAUACGUAGGGCGCGAGCGUUGUCCGGAAUUAUUGGGCGUAAAGAGCUUGUAGGCGGUUUGUCGCGUCUGCUGUGAAAGGCCGGGGCUUAACCCCGUGUAUUGCAGUGGGUACGGGCAGACUAGAGUGCAGUAGGGGAGACUGGAAUUCCUGGUGUAGCGGUGGAAUGCGCAGAUAUCAGGAGGAACACCGAUGGCGAAGGCAGGUCUCUGGGCUGUAACUGACGCUGAGAAGCGAAAGCAUGGGGAGCAAACAGGAUUAGAUACCCUGGUAGUCCACGCCGUAAACGAUGAGUGCUAGGUGUUAGMCCCUUUCCGGGGUUUAGUGCCGCAGCUAACGCAUUAAGCACUCCGCCUGGGGAGUACGACCGCAAGGUUGAAACUCAAAGGAAUUGACGGGGSCCCGCACAAGCGGUGGAGCAUGUGGUUUAAUUCGAAGCAACGCGAA
RNAcentral lists this ribosomal RNA (467 nucleotides) under uncultured bacterium. RNAcentral describes it as "bacterial SSU rRNA". It matches the Rfam family "Bacterial small subunit ribosomal RNA", at positions 501 to 965 of the family's 1533-position model. The record is from RNAcentral.